This 253-nucleotide ribosomal RNA is filed under the name uncultured bacterium. Its description in RNAcentral is "partial 16S ribosomal RNA". It matches the Rfam family "Bacterial small subunit ribosomal RNA", at positions 524 to 776 of the family's 1533-position model. The record is from RNAcentral.
UACGUAGGGUCCGAGCGUUGUCCGGAAUUAUUGGGCGUAAAGGGCUCGUAGGCGGUUUGUCGCGUCGGGAGUGAAAACACGGGGCUUAACCCCGUGCCUGCUUCCGAUACGGGCAGACUAGAGGUAUGCAGGGGAGAACGGAAUUCCUGGUGUAGCGGUGGAAUGCGCAGAUAUCAGGAGGAACACCAAUAGCGAAGGCAGCUCGCUGGGACGGUACUGACGCUAAGGCGCGAAAGCGUGGGGAGCGAACAGG